CCUACGGGGGGCAGCAGUGAGGAAUAUUGGUCAAUGGGCGCGAGCCUGAACCAGCCAAGUAGCGUGAAGGAUGACUGCCCUACGGGUUGUAAACUUCUUUUAAGGGGGAAGAGCAGAAGACGGUACCCCUUGAAUAAGCCACGGCUAACUACGUGCCAGCAGCCGCGGUAAUACGUAGGUGGCAAGCGUUGUCCGGAUUUACUGGGUGUAAAGGGCGUGCAGCCGGAGAGACAAGUCAGAUGUGAAAUCCACGGGCUCAACCCGUGAACUGCAUUUGAAACUGUUUACCUUGAGUGUCGGAGAGGUAAUCGGAAUUCCUUGUGUAGCGGUGAAAUGCUUAGAUAUCACGAAGAACUCCGAUUGCGAAGGCAGCUUACUAAACUGCCACUGACAUUGAUGCUCGAAAGUGUGGGUAUCAAACAGGAUUAGAUACCCCUGUAGUC
RNAcentral lists this ribosomal RNA (443 nucleotides) under uncultured bacterium. RNAcentral's name for it is "partial 16S ribosomal RNA". It matches the Rfam family "Bacterial small subunit ribosomal RNA", at positions 338 to 795 of the family's 1533-position model. The record is from RNAcentral.